Molecule: ribosomal RNA, 442 nt
Filed under: uncultured bacterium
Lineage: Bacteria
Description: bacterial SSU rRNA
Rfam family: Bacterial small subunit ribosomal RNA
Source: RNAcentral
UCCUACGGGGGGCAGCAGUAAGGAAUAUUGCACAAUGGGCGAAAGCCUGAUGCAGCAACGCCGCGUGGGUGAUGAAGGCCUUCGGGUCGUAAAACCCUUUUCUGGGGGAAGAGUAAGGACGGUACCUCAGGAAUAAGCACCGGCUAACUACGUGCCAGCAGCCGCGGUAACACGUAGGGUGCAAGCGUUAUCCGGAUUUACUGGGCGUAAAGCGCGCGCAGGCGGCAUCGUAAGUUGGACGUGAAAUCUUUCGGCUUAACCGGGAGGCGCCGUUCAAAACUACGAUGCUCGAGGGCAGAAGAGGGGAGUGGAAUUCCCGGUGUAGUGGUAAAAUGCUUAGAUAUCGGGAGGAACACCAGUGGCGAAGGCGACUCCCUGGUCUGCACCUGACGCUGAGGCGCGAAAGCGUGGGGAGCGAACGGGAUUAGAUACCCGGGUAGUC